This 433-nucleotide ribosomal RNA is filed under the name uncultured bacterium. RNAcentral describes it as "partial 16S ribosomal RNA". It matches the Rfam family "Bacterial small subunit ribosomal RNA", at positions 29 to 507 of the family's 1533-position model. The record is from RNAcentral.
AGCGAACGCUGGCGGCAGGCUUAACACAUGCAAGUCGAACGCAUCCUUCGGGGUGAGUGGCAGACGGGUGAGUAACACGUGGGAACGUACCCUUCGACCUGGGAUAACUUCGGGAAACUGGAGCUAAUACCGGAUACGCCCUUUUGGGGAAAGGUUUACUGUCGAAGGAUCGGCCCGCGUCUGAUUAGCUAGUUGGUGGGGUAACGGCCUACCAAGGCGACGAUCAGUAGCUGGUCUGAGAGGAUGAUCAGCCACACUGGGACUGAGACACGGCCCAGACUCCUACGGGAGGCAGCAGUGGGGAAUAUUGGACAAUGGGCGCAAGCCUGAUCCAGCCAUGCCGCGUGAGUGAUGAAGGCCUUAGGGUUGUAAAGCUCUUUUGUCCGGGACGAUAAUGACGGUACCGGAAGAAUAAGCCCCGGCUAACUUCGUG